This 253-nucleotide ribosomal RNA is filed under the name uncultured bacterium. RNAcentral describes it as "partial 16S ribosomal RNA". It matches the Rfam family "Bacterial small subunit ribosomal RNA", at positions 524 to 776 of the family's 1533-position model. The record is from RNAcentral.
GACAGAGGGUGCAAACGUUGCUCGGAAUCAUUGGGCGUAAAGCGCACGUAGGCAGCCUGUUAAGUCGGGUGUGAAAGCCCUGGGCUCAACCCAGGAAGUGCACUCGAAACUGACGGGCUUGAAUAUGGAAGAGGGUCGCGGAAUUCCCGGUGUAGAGGUGAAAUUCGUAGAUAUCGGGAGGAACACCAGUGGCGAAGGCGGUUGCCUGGGGCUUUGCUGACGCUGAUGCGCGAAAGCGUGGGGAGCGAUCCGG